Humulus lupulus (European hop) is the source of this 1354-nucleotide long non-coding RNA. RefSeq lists it as uncharacterized. NCBI's taxonomy places the organism in Eukaryota, Viridiplantae, Streptophyta, Magnoliopsida, Rosales, Cannabaceae. The record is from RefSeq and is a predicted model, not a curated record. The transcript is spliced from 3 exons.
CUUUUUAUAUAUUCUUUUUCCAUUUUCUUUUCUUAACUGGUGGCAGGCAUGUUUGGUUCUCUUUUAACUCUUUUAUUAUUUUCUUUUACUAACAAAUCUUCAGUUUAUUGGUUUAAGGUUCUGACACUAGGCUAUGAGUGAGUGAGUGCAAUUCUGGUUCAAAUGAAAUUGGAGAUGCUUCUUAAGUAUAUGUAGUAAUUUCUAAAUUUGGAGAAGCUUUUUUCGGUCAUGCUUUCUUGAAAACUUAAUGAAAUUGACUACCACAUAUUUUCAGGCUUUGCUAUUUAGCUGCUAUAGUUCAAAACAAGAUAGUCAAGUUAUACCUUAUGCUCUUUGUAGUUCAGUCCAACCAGUGAUCAAUGCUCUAUAUUUUUUUUAAGGUGCAGCCUGUUGGCAUAAUCCUUUUUGUUGCAAUCAUGACUACACUAGGCAUGAUUCUAUAGCUUGAUUUCUUAUAAGUUUUUCACCAUGUCAUUUUAACUACUGAUAGCAAAACAAUUUUCUUGCAAUUUUAGAUACAAUGAUUUUGAAAUUGUUUUAUUUUAUUAUUUUUUUCUACUUUUGAAAUGGCAUGUUGCUUGCAAAAACUUAGGAGCGACAGACUUUUCUAGUUUAAUCAAUGGCGGUCCCCUAUUUUUUAGAUUGUGACAUUUAAAUGAUGAGUAUUUCCUUCUGUUAUGGUGUAUUUAGUAUUUCCAUCUGUUUUUUGUUAAUUUUGUUUGCUUGUAGGGUUUGCUUUUGUUUACAGGUUGCCUGCAGCUACAUUUUGAUCUCUGUUUCAGGCUCCUGUUAGUGGUAUUUUUUAUGCUCUGCAACUAGUUUUAUUUUUUGUUUUGUUUUAUGUUUUUAUGCUCUACAUUUUGAUCACAUGCUUUUAACCUUUGAAUAAUGGCACUACUAAAUUUCUUUUUAUUUAAGUCUUUUAACUCUAAGGCUAAAAUGGUAGCUACAAAGGGGAUACCUCCCAAAGACUAGGAGCCUAAGACAAUUGGCAUCUAAUUAUGUAUCUGAGCUCUAUUUAUAUGAUCUUGUUUACUUUCUGACCUUAAAUUCAACCUAAUUGUUUCUAGAUUUUAAUCUACAUGCUCCUUUCAUUAUUUACCCCUUUUCAUGUGUUUUGCAGAAGGAGAAAUUGAUUAUGUGAGGGUUUUGAAUGGAGCCCUUCCAAAUGAUAUGGGAGUUUUAGGCUGGUGUUCUAUUCCAAUUGAUUUCAGUGCAAGGUUUAGCUAUCUGAGCAGGGAGUACAAAUAUUUCUUUUGGGAAGACAAUCUAAAUCUCAAGGCAAUGGAAAGCUCUGGUGAGAUAUUUAUAGGUGAACAUGACUUCCGAAAUUUCUGUAAGAUGGAUGCACUAA